This 253-nucleotide ribosomal RNA is filed under the name uncultured bacterium. RNAcentral's name for it is "partial 16S ribosomal RNA". It matches the Rfam family "Bacterial small subunit ribosomal RNA", at positions 524 to 776 of the family's 1533-position model. The record is from RNAcentral.
UACGAAGGGGGCUAGCGUUGCUCGGAUUUACUGGGCGUAAAGGGCGCGUAGGCGGACAGUUUAGUCAGAGGUGAAAGCCCGGGGCUCAACCCCGGAACUGCCUUUAAGACUGCAUCGCUUGAAUCCGGGAGAGGUGAGUGGAAUUCCGAGUGUAGAGGUGAAAUUCGUAGAUAUUCGGAAGAACACCAGUGGCGAAGGCGGCUCACUGGACCGGUAUUGACGCUGAUGUGCGAAAGUGUGGGGAGCGAACAGG